Molecule: ribosomal RNA, 1597 nt
Filed under: Telonemida sp.
Lineage: Eukaryota; Telonemia; Telonemida
Description: SSU rRNA
Rfam family: Bacterial small subunit ribosomal RNA
Source: RNAcentral
UAAUUUGAGAGUUUGAUCCUGACUCCGAAUGAACGCUAGGUGUAUGCUUAACACAUGCGAGUCGAAUGUAACUAAUUUUAUUUUAAUUACAUGGCAUACGGGUGAGUAACACGUGAGAAUUUGCCUAAUAACCUGGAAUAAACUAUAUCGCAAGAGAAUUCAUAAUAUAUUUAUGAUAUAUUAUGAAGUAGUAAUACCAGAUAAAAAUUAAAGAUUAAAUCGUUAUUAGAUAAGCUUGCGUAGGAUUAGGUAGUUGGUUAAGUAAAAGCUAACCAAGCCUAAGAUCCUUAGUUGGUCUUAGCGGAUGACCAGCCACACUGGGACUGAGAUACGGCCCAGACUCCAUUAGGAGGCAGCAGUGAGGAAUAUUGGACAAUGAGCGAAAGCUUGAUCCAGCAAUACACCGUGAGUGAUGACAGCUUUUAGGUUGUAAAGCUCUUUCAUCAAGGAAGAUAGUGACAUUACUUGAAGAAGAAGCCCCGGCAAAUUUCGUGCCAGCAGCCGCGGUAAUACGAAAGGGGCAAGUGUUAUUCGAAAUUAUUGGGCGUAAAGGGUAACUAGGCUAUUUAUUAAAUUAUUUGUUAAAGACCUUAACUCAAUUAAGGUAAAGCAUAUAAGACUAAUAAAAUUGAAUAAGGUAAAAAAUAGUGGAAUUUCUAAUGGAGGAUUAAGCCCUGUAGAUAUUAGAAGGAACAUCAAAAGCGAAGGCAACUAUUUUGGCCUUUAUUGACGCUGAAUUACUAAGGCGUAGGUAGCGAAUAGGAUUAGAUACCCUAGUAGUCUACGCAGUCAACGAUGAAUGUUAAAUUUUAAUAAAUAUUUUUGGGUAGUAAAAAUAUAUUUAGAAACUUAAAUUUUUAUUUAUUAGAGUUACAGCUAACGCGUUAAACAUUCCGCCUGGGGAGUACGGCCGCAAGGUUAAAACUUAAAGGAAUUGACGGGGACCCAUACAAGCGGUGGAGCAUGUGGUUUAAUUCGACACAACGCGCAAAACCUUACCAGCCCUUGUAUAUUGAGAGGUAAUUUUUUAAUAGAAGGAGCCGGUAAAAACUCAAUACAGGUGUUGCAUGGCUGUCGUCAGCUCGUGUCGUGAGAUGUCAGGUUAGGUCCAUAAACGAGCGCAACCCUUAUUUUUAGUUACUUUUCAAAGAACUCUAAAAAAACUGCCUAUGACAAAUAGGAGGAAGGUGAGGAUGACGUCAAGUCAGUAUGGCCCUUAUGGGCUGGGCUACACAUGUGCUACAAUGGCAAUCACAAAGGGAAGCAAAAGCGUAAGCUUUAGCAAAUCCUAAAAAAUUGUCUAGGUUCGGAUUGUUCUCUGUAACUCGAGAAUAUGAAGUUGGAAUCGCUAGUAAUCGUGGAUCAGCACGCCACGGUGAACUCGUCUCUGGGUCUUGUACAUACCGCCCGUCAAGGUCGGGAAAUUGGUUUUAUUAGAAAUAAUUUUAUUAAUUACAAUCUUUGUAGAUAUAAGUUGUAUUAUAUAUAUAAUUAUCUAUCAAACUUGUAGAAAAAAGUUAUUACAAUAGAAUUGUUAACUUGACUUAAGUCGUAACAAGGUAACGGUAGGGGAACCUGCUGUUGGAUAACUUCCUUU